UACGAAGGGGACUAGCGUUGUUCGGAAUCACUGGGCGUAAAGCGCACGUAGGCGGAUGUGUCAGUCAGGGGUGAAAUCCCGGGGCUCAACCUCGGAACUGCCUUUGAUACAGCACGUCUCGAGUCCGGAAGAGGUGGGUGGAAUUCCUAGUGUAGAGGUGAAAUUCGUAGAUAUCUGGAGGAACACCGGUGGCGAAGGCGGCAUCCUGGACCAACACUGACGCUGAGGAGCGAAAGCCAGGGGAGCAAACGGG
RNAcentral lists this ribosomal RNA (253 nucleotides) under uncultured bacterium. RNAcentral describes it as "partial 16S ribosomal RNA". It matches the Rfam family "Bacterial small subunit ribosomal RNA", at positions 524 to 776 of the family's 1533-position model. The record is from RNAcentral.